Long non-coding RNA from Trachemys scripta elegans, 1377 nucleotides. RefSeq lists it as uncharacterized. The transcript has 5 exons. Lineage: Eukaryota; Metazoa; Chordata; Testudines; Emydidae. The record is from RefSeq and is a predicted model, not a curated record.
CAGCCCUGGCGCUGCUCCCAGACCCACCCCUAGCUGCAGCCCCAGCCUUGGCCCCCUUACCUCUGUCCCCUGUAGUUCUGGGCCUGCCCCUAAUGUUUUGCUGAUUUCCUGAUGUCCCUGUAUGGUAGAGCCAGAUCUAGCUCUGGGGCUGCAGUGAGUGCUAUUAGCUGCUGGGCUGUGGCUCACAGGCUGGAAACACCAGAGCUAGCUGAGUGGUGCAGCAUAACUGUGCGCAGCUGAAGUUGGGAAGGAAGACUGGUAUAUCUCCCAAUGAAAGUAGAGUCUCUUUUUGUUUAAUCCAGAGGUUUGACAUUGUAUGCUUAUCCUCGAGCCAGACCCACAACCCAAUUUAUUUGCAUACACUUGUCUUUCAGCAAGGUUAUAUCUUGCAAAGGCUCAGCUGCCCCACUGGAAAACCCCUUUUACACCUGUUUCCCAUUUGUUCCCCCAAGUAAGCAGCCAUAUGGGAGUAUGUGCUUGCACAAGCUUUUGAAAAUUUGGCUCUGAAUCUGUCAGCUGCUUUCUGACACUUGAGUACUAUGCUAUAAGACCCAGCCCUGCCCAUCUGUGACUAAUUAAAGGAAACUGCAGCUGCAUCAAAUAUCAAACAGCAGUUAGUGAGACAGUCUGAGUUUGCUGUAUAGAAGCCUUGCAGCAGAAACUAGUUAUUGUUCGGUUUAAUAAGAAGUUACAGGAGAGGUGGAGGUUUUGGUCCAGUAGCAAUUUCAGGAGGAGUAGAAGGGAUUUUAAUGUCUGAAGAGGGAGAGAAAUGAAUCAGCAAAUUAUCCUGGAGAUGGAAGACAGACACUGUACAGCAAGAGCAAACCUCAGAGCAGGGAGGCCAACGCUGGAGUGAAGGUUAUCCAGCAAGUUCUUCGCCUUAUGUUCUGAUUUGCCUCCCCCAGUCUACCAGCAGCAGCCAGGUGGAGAAGGAAUUUCAGAGCUAGUACAAUAUCUACACUUAUGCAGCAGAACCUCAGAGUUAUGAAUUGACCAACCACGCACCUCAUUUGGAACUAUUCCAUCCCUCUCAUGACCAUAGUCAUGUAUUCGUCAUGUAACAAAUGUAGGAUGCAGGAAAAUAUGAUAAAGAAAAAUAUAGGAAGGGAAGCAAAGCAAAGCAAAGCAAAUGGACAGGAGACUAGGGAAGAUACCUGAAGAGAAUCCUGGUUUUCAGAGCGACUGACAGGGGUAUAGUCAUGAAGUGAAGAGCUGUGCAGAAUACUCAUAGAAGCUGAACUCACCAUGGAGGUUCCAAAAAGAAUCCAUAUGGAUAAGAACACUUGAGAAUGCGGCGAGUUUUUAAGAGCUCUUGUACUGCAUCUUCAAUGAAAGUGGUAUCAGGACAGCCUCCUUCAGCUGUACAGUAACACAAGC